Alligator sinensis (Chinese alligator) is the source of this 485-nucleotide long non-coding RNA. RefSeq lists it as uncharacterized. The transcript has 3 exons. The record is from RefSeq and is a predicted model, not a curated record. NCBI's taxonomy places the organism in Eukaryota, Metazoa, Chordata, Crocodylia, Alligatoridae.
CAGAUUUAGAUGAAAUUGCUACAUUCCUGUGAAGCAUUUCCAUCUCCAUUUCACUGGAUCACUAAUUUGCUACAGAAAACUGUUCCAUCAGAAAAAAAUUGAUUAGCCCUGCUUGGGGCUUUGCAGAGGCUUUUGAAAAGAUCAGCUGGAGCACUGGGAAAGCAUGAACUUCAAUCUUCAGAGCAUGCAAGCAACAAGGCAUCAGCCGUCAGAGUGACACAAGCAGCAAUUUCCUUUGCAACAUUGAAGAUGCCGGGUGAGGGUUUACAACAGCAGUGCACUGUGUUAAGCAAAGCAGUAGAAGACAGACAGCCUGGAGAAGAGACAGCCUGUGACGUAAGUGCCCUGGACCUUUCCAUUGAACUUCUAGUUCUUGGCAGCAGCUGAAACUUGGAACGUACUCAAAAGCUGCUUUGGAGUUUCCAUGCAAGAAUACGGUUUUUGUCCCUGUUUCCAAAUCUCCCAUUGCAGUCGGGGGUCCAUUA